Molecule: ribosomal RNA, 254 nt
Filed under: uncultured bacterium
Lineage: Bacteria
Description: partial 16S ribosomal RNA
Rfam family: Bacterial small subunit ribosomal RNA
Source: RNAcentral
UACGGGGGGAGCAAGCGUUGUUCGGAUUUACUGGGCGUAAAGGGCGCGUAGGCGGUCGUGACAAGUCACUUGUGAAAUCUCCGGGCUUAACUCGGAACGGUCAAGUGAUACUGUCGGACUAGAGUACAGAAGGGGCAACUGGAAUUCUCGGUGUAGCGGUGAAAUGCGUAGAUAUCGAGAGGAACACCUGCGGCGAAGGCGGCUUACUGGUCCAUUACUGACGCUGAGAUGCGAAAGCGUGGGGAGCAAACAGG